UGGGCGGAAGCCUGACGCAGCGACGCCGCGUGGGGGAUGACGGCCUUCGGGUUGUAAACCUCUUUCGCCAGGGACGAAGAGCAAUUGACGGUACUGGAGAAGAAGCACCGGCCAACUACGUGCCAGCAGCCGCGGUAACACGUAGGGUGCGAGCGUUGUCCGGAAUUAUUGGGCGUAAAGAGCUCGUAGGCGGUGUGUCGCGUCGGCCGUGAAAACUUGGGGCUUAACUCUGAGCGUGCGGUCGAUACGGGCAUCACUUGAGUUCGGCAGGGGAGACUGGAAUUCCUGGUGUAGCGGUGAAAUGCGCAGAUAUCAGGAGGAACACCGGUGGCGAAGGCGGGUCUCUGGGCCGAUACUGACGCUGAGGAGCGAAAGCGUGGGGAGCGAACAGGAUUAGAUACCCUGGUAGUCCACGCCGUAAACGUUGGGCGCUA
Molecule: ribosomal RNA, 434 nt
Filed under: Pseudonocardia sp. AEOC002
Lineage: Bacteria; Bacillati; Actinomycetota; Actinomycetes; Pseudonocardiales; Pseudonocardiaceae
Description: bacterial SSU rRNA
Rfam family: Bacterial small subunit ribosomal RNA
Source: RNAcentral